CACGUAGACGGCUCCUUAAGUCAGGGGUGAAAUCCUGGAGCUCAACUCCAGAACUGCCUUUGAUACUGAGGAGCUCGAGUCCGGGAGAGGUGAGUGGAACUGCGAGUGUAGAGGUGAAAUUCGUAGAUAUUCGCAAGAACACCAGUGGCGAAGGCGGCUCACUGGCCCGGUACUGACGCUGAGGUGCGAAAGCGUGGGGAGCAAACA
Molecule: ribosomal RNA, 207 nt
Filed under: uncultured bacterium
Lineage: Bacteria
Description: partial 16S ribosomal RNA
Rfam family: Bacterial small subunit ribosomal RNA
Source: RNAcentral